GUUAUUUUGGCAGAAUAGUGCGAUAGAUUUAGAAUCUUUAUAUGUAAUAAAAAUAUUACAAAUAA
Molecule: transfer RNA, 65 nt
Filed under: Arhopalus unicolor
Lineage: Eukaryota; Metazoa; Arthropoda; Insecta; Coleoptera; Cerambycidae
Description: tRNA-Leu
Rfam family: tRNA
About the family: Transfer RNA (tRNA) molecules are approximately 80 nucleotides in length.
Source: RNAcentral